AUGUUGCCUGAGACAUCACAUAUACUAAAAUUGGUUUGAUACAGAGAAGAUUAGCAUGAUCCCUGGGUA
Molecule: small nuclear RNA, 69 nt
Filed under: Danio rerio (zebrafish)
Lineage: Eukaryota; Metazoa; Chordata; Actinopteri; Cypriniformes; Danionidae
Source: RNAcentral